GGGGGAUUAGCUCAGCUGGCUAGAGCGCCUGCCUUGCACGCAGGAGGUCAUCGGUUCGACUCCGAUAUUCUCCA
Molecule: transfer RNA, 74 nt
Organism: Flavobacterium sp. Leaf359
Lineage: Bacteria; Pseudomonadati; Bacteroidota; Flavobacteriia; Flavobacteriales; Flavobacteriaceae
Rfam family: tRNA
About the family: Transfer RNA (tRNA) molecules are approximately 80 nucleotides in length. Their secondary structure includes four short double-helical elements and three loops (D, anti-codon, and T loops).
Source: Rfam